UACGUAGGGUCCGAGCGUUGUCCGGAAUUAUUGGGCGUAAAGGGCUCGUAGGCGGUUCGUACAGUCAGACGUGAAAUUCCUGGGCUCAACCUGGGGGCUGCGUUUGAUACGUGCGGACUUGAGUGCGGAAGAGGGUCGUGGAAUUCCCAGUGUAGAGGUGAAAUUCGUAGAUAUUGGGAAGAACACCGGUGGCGAAGGCGGCGACCUGGUCCGAUACUGACGCUGAGGCGCGAAAGCGUGGGGAGCAAACAGG
Molecule: ribosomal RNA, 253 nt
Filed under: uncultured bacterium
Lineage: Bacteria
Description: partial 16S ribosomal RNA
Rfam family: Bacterial small subunit ribosomal RNA
Source: RNAcentral